Podarcis lilfordi (Lilford's wall lizard) is the source of this 1367-nucleotide non-coding RNA. The record is from the annotation of a GenBank genome assembly. Lineage: Eukaryota; Metazoa; Chordata; Lepidosauria; Squamata; Lacertidae.
CUUGGCGGGAUGGGUGAUUGCUUUUAGCCACGAUCGGGAGAGUUUCAGUGGUGAUUGGGUGGGUGAUUGAUGACUGCGGCAAGGUCCGCUGUCUGUUGGCUGCUGCUGCGUCAAUCAGAAGGGUGACUGGCGGCUGCUGGCUCAGAGCGGGCAGUCAAUAGAUAUUUUUAGUGGCGCAUAUGACUUUUAGCGCCGCUCCGGCGGGGUAGCAAUUUUUGGCAACCUCCCCCCCCCCCCCAAAAAAGCUCAAGCACUCUGGGCUGUCCUCUGCUAAAAAACCCCUCAACAAUUCUGGCAAUCUUCCCCCAUUUUCUGAAUUUUGAGUCUCCCAAAAUAGGGCGUUGUCUUAUACAUGGGGGCAUCUAAUACACGGAAAAAUAUGGUAAUCCAAGAAAAAAAACGGGGAGGGAAGGGUGAGGUUCUAGAAAGGGAAAGGUGGCUGGGUUAUUAGGGAACUCAGCCAAAACCUGACCAAAACAAGAGGGCAGUCUGGUCUGGAGGGUGAGAUGUCUCUUCCCACUAAGUGAGGUCAGAAGAUUAGAACCUACCUGCCAGAGCUAGUGGGAGGAACUAUUCCAAAGUAUGGAAUGCCCUUGGAACCACAGGUGAAUAGCUGUGUUUGAUACUGAGGUUCACUAAUAUGGGUUGAAACUUACACUUUGUUCAAACAUAGGCAUUGAAAGGAUGGAAAAAUACUUAAUUUCCCUUGUGCCACUCUUUAAACACACCCUAAAGGUUAACAGGUAACUAUUUAUUAUUUCAUAAGGUUUUUAAAAUGUAUUUGCACCCACACAUAUGCUUUAUUCCAUGCAAGAUGGGAAAGAAACUUGUCUUUGUCUUGAAAAGAUUAAUAAUCAAAAUGACAAAUGCAGGAAAGGCAGGAAACAUGUUCUACCAAGGGAUAAUAUAGCAAAAUAUUCAGUUUGAGGCUAAGGGAUAUGCCAGAGAAUUGUUUUUACUGCAAAAGACGAGGUUUGUCCUUGAUCACUGUUCCCAAAUAUGUCAAAAGGUUAAACUUUCAAACCAUUUCAAUAUAAAUGUUUUUCUUCCCCCUCCUGUUUGCACGGAGUAAGUUUAAUAGGAUUUUUCUAUAGGGACAUUCAAAGAUCUUGGAUACAAUUAGGUCAAUGGAAACUAUUAAAUUUAAUGUAAUCAAAAGUUACAGCGAUUAUUAAGGAAAUAUCAACUAGCCUUUCAUCGCAAGUCGUCUUUGGGCAGAGCAUAUCUGAGAGCUGUUUUAGGACUGUAAAGCUUGAAACUUGAUUGCAUUAUGCAAUGUAUUUUAAUUUAUUUGUUUAAUACAUUCUUUCAUGAUUUGUCUCAAAGAACUUCCAACUGUUUUCUUGCACCCAUGGAACUGACCCAAC